ACCUGGUUGAUUCUGCCAGUAGUCAUAUGCUUGUCUCAAAGAUUAAGCCAUGCAUGUCUAAGUAUAAGCAAUUACAAAGCGAAACUGCGAAUGGCUCAUUAUAUAAGUUAUCGUUUAUUUGAUAGUACCUUACUACAUGGAUAACCGUGGUAAUUCUAGAGCUAAUACAU
Molecule: ribosomal RNA, 170 nt
Filed under: Verticillium albo-atrum
Lineage: Eukaryota; Fungi; Ascomycota; Sordariomycetes; Glomerellales; Plectosphaerellaceae
Also listed under: 8 other names
Description: partial 18S ribosomal RNA
Rfam family: Eukaryotic small subunit ribosomal RNA
Source: RNAcentral